CUAAGCCGAGAAUCUGAAAUUGUUAAAAUUAUCUCCUUUGAAUUUGAGAACUUGAGAGGUAAACAAGGUAAAAUGGCUUCCUUUGUGGCUUGACCUCGUAAACUCAGUAAAACUUUACUAAAAAAGCGAGAAACUUGACUUUGAGAAAGAAGCGGGGCACACUACAACAUAUUAAAAAAAUCACUCUAUCAUGUGAAAGUAAUAUAACUAAACACUACGAUUCUUUCUUUUACAACUUGAUUGGAUGGAACAAUGAUAUCAUGCAAAGCUCAAUCAACAAAUACGUUUUUUCAUCUCCCUCCGGACGUACCCUAGGAAAGAAGAACAAGAGUUGCCUCCCUCGAAAACAACUCGAAAGCAAGAAACCCUU
RNAcentral lists this long non-coding RNA (370 nucleotides) under Carica papaya (papaya). RNAcentral's name for it is "long non-coding RNA (CPAP_LNC009792)". Lineage: Eukaryota; Viridiplantae; Streptophyta; Magnoliopsida; Brassicales; Caricaceae. The record is from RNAcentral.